This 1809-nucleotide ribosomal RNA is filed under the name Staphylococcus epidermidis. Its description in RNAcentral is "bacterial LSU rRNA". It matches the Rfam family "Bacterial large subunit ribosomal RNA", at positions 1119 to 2925 of the family's 2925-position model. Lineage: Bacteria; Bacillati; Bacillota; Bacilli; Caryophanales; Staphylococcaceae. The record is from RNAcentral.
UCAUUUAAAGAGUGCGUAAUAGCUCACUAGUCGAGUGACACUGCGCCGAAAAUGUACCGGGGCUAAACAUAUUACCGAAGCUGUGGAUUGUCCUUUGGACAAUGGUAGGAGAGCGUUCUAAGGGCGUCGAAGCAUGAUCGCAAGGACAUGUGGAGCGCUUAGAAGUGAGAAUGCCGGUGUGAGUAGCGAAAGACGGGUGAGAAUCCCGUCCACCGAUUGACUAAGGUUUCCAGAGGAAGGCUCGUCCGCUCUGGGUUAGUCGGGUCCUAAGCUGAGGCCGACAGGCGUAGGCGAUGGAUAACAGGUUGAUAUUCCUGUACCACCUAGUAUCGUUUUAAUCGAUGGGGGGACGCAGUAGGAUAGGCGAAGCGUGCUGUUGGAGUGCACGUCCAAGCAGUAAGGCUGAGUGUUAGGCAAAUCCGGCACUCAUAAGGCUGAGCUGUGAUGGGGAGAGGAAAUUGUUUCCUCGAGUCGUUGAUUUCACACUGCCGAGAAAAGCCUCUAGAUAGAUAACAGGUGCCCGUACCGCAAACCGACACAGGUAGUCAAGAUGAGAAUUCUAAGGUGAGCGAGCGAACUCUCGUUAAGGAACUCGGCAAAAUGACCCCGUAACUUCGGGAGAAGGGGUGCUCUUUAGGGUUCACGCCCAGAAGAGCCGCAGUGAAUAGGCCCAAGCGACUGUUUAUCAAAAACACAGGUCUCUGCUAAACCGUAAGGUGAUGUAUAGGGGCUGACGCCUGCCCGGUGCUGGAAGGUUAAGAGGAGUGGUUAGCUUCUGCGAAGCUACGAAUCGAAGCCCCAGUAAACGGCGGCCGUAACUAUAACGGUCCUAAGGUAGCGAAAUUCCUUGUCGGGUAAGUUCCGACCCGCACGAAAGGCGUAACGAUUUGGGCACUGUCUCAACGAGAGACUCGGUGAAAUCAUAGUACCUGUGAAGAUGCAGGUUACCCGCGACAGGACGGAAAGACCCCGUGGAGCUUUACUGUAGCCUGAUAUUGAAAUUCGGCACAGCUUGUACAGGAUAGGUAGGAGCCUUUGAAACGUGAGCGCUAGCUUACGUGGAGGCGUUGGUGGGAUACUACCCUAGCUGUGUUGGCUUUCUAACCCGCACCACUUAUCGUGGUGGGAGACAGUGUCAGGCGGGCAGUUUGACUGGGGCGGUCGCCUCCUAAAAGGUAACGGAGGCGCUCAAAGGUUCCCUCAGAAUGGUUGGAAAUCAUUCAUAGAGUGUAAAGGCAUAAGGGAGCUUGACUGCGAGACCUACAAGUCGAGCAGGGUCGAAAGACGGACUUAGUGAUCCGGUGGUUCCGCAUGGAAGGGCCAUCGCUCAACGGAUAAAAGCUACCCCGGGGAUAACAGGCUUAUCUCCCCCAAGAGUUCACAUCGACGGGGAGGUUUGGCACCUCGAUGUCGGCUCAUCGCAUCCUGGGGCUGUAGUCGGUCCCAAGGGUUGGGCUGUUCGCCCAUUAAAGCGGUACGCGAGCUGGGUUCAGAACGUCGUGAGACAGUUCGGUCCCUAUCCGUCGUGGGCGUAGGAAAUUUGAGAGGAGCUGUCCUUAGUACGAGAGGACCGGGAUGGACAUACCUCUGGUGUACCAGUUGUCGUGCCAACGGCAUAGCUGGGUAGCUAUGUAUGGACGGGAUAAGUGCUGAAAGCAUCUAAGCAUGAAGCCCCCCUCAAGAUGAGAUUUCCCAACUUCGGUUAUAAGAUCCCUCGAAGAUGACGAGGUUAAUAGGUUCGAGGUGGAAGCGUGGUGACACGUGGAGCUGACGAAUACUAAUCGAUCGAAGACUUAAUCAAUUUUUAAA